RNAcentral lists this ribosomal RNA (559 nucleotides) under uncultured bacterium. Its description in RNAcentral is "bacterial SSU rRNA". It matches the Rfam family "Bacterial small subunit ribosomal RNA", at positions 10 to 523 of the family's 1533-position model. The record is from RNAcentral.
AGUUUGAUCCUGGCUCAGGAUGAACGCUGGCGGCGUGCCUAAUACAUGCAAGUCGAACGCUUUGUGGUUCAACUGAUUUGAAGAGCUUGCUCAGGUAUGACGAUGGACAUUGCAAAGAGUGGCGAACGGGUGAGUAACACGUGGGAAACCUACCUCUUAGCAGGGGAUAACAUUUGGAAACAGAUGCUAAUACCGUAUAACAAUAGCAACCGCAUGGUUGCUACUUAAAAGAUGGUUCUGCUAUCACUAAGAGAUGGUCCCGCGGUGCAUUAGUUAGUUGGUGAGGUAAUGGCUCACCAAGACGAUGAUGCAUAGCCGAGUUGAGAGACUGAUCGGCCACAAUGGGACUGAGACACGGCCCAUACUCCUACGGGAGGCAGCAGUAGGGAAUCUUCCACAAUGGGCGAAAGCCUGAUGGAGCAACGCCGCGUGUGUGAUGAAGGGUUUCGGCUCGUAAAACACUGUUGUAAGAGAAGAAUGACAUUGAGAGUAACUGCUCAAUGUGUGACGGUAUCUUACCAGAAAGGAACGGCUAAAUACGUGCCAGCAGCCGCGGUAA